This 1438-nucleotide ribosomal RNA is filed under the name uncultured organism. Its description in RNAcentral is "SSU rRNA". It matches the Rfam family "Bacterial small subunit ribosomal RNA". The record is from RNAcentral.
CUACAGGCUUAACACAUGCAAGUCGAGGGGCAGCAUGGUCUUAGCUUGCUAAGGCCGAUGGCGACCGGCGCACGGGUGAGUAACACGUAUCCAACCUGCCGUCUACUCUUGGACAGCCUUCUGAGAGGAAGAUUAAUACAAGAUGGCAUCAUGAGUCCGCAUGUUCACAUGAUUAAAGGUAUUCCGGUAGACGAUGGGGAUGCGUUCCAUUAGAUAGUAGGCGGGGUAACGGCCCACCUAGUCUUCGAUGGAUAGGGGUUCUGAGAGGAAGGUCCCCCACAUUGGAACUGAGACACGGUCCAAACUCCUACGGGAGGCAGCAGUGAGGAAUAUUGGUCAAUGGGCGAGAGCCUGAACCAGCCAAGUAGCGUGAAGGAUGACUGCCCUAUGGGUUGUAAACUUCUUUUAUAAAGGAAUAAAGUCGGGUAUGGAUACCCGUUUGCAUGUACUUUAUGAAUAAGGAUCGGCUAACUCCGUGCCAGCAGCCGCGGUAAUACGGAGGAUCCGAGCGUUAUCCGGAUUUAUUGGGUUUAAAGGGAGCGUAGAUGGAUGUUUAAGUCAGUUGUGAAAGUUUGCGGCUCAACCGUAAAAUUGCAGUUGAUACUGGAUAUCUUGAGUGCAGUUGAGGCAGGCGGAAUUCGUGGUGUAGCGGUGAAAUGCUUAGAUAUCACGAAGAACUCCGAUUGCGAAGGCAGCCUGCUAAGCUGCAACUGACAUUGAGGCUCGAAAGUGUGGGUAUCAAACAGGAUUAGAUACCCUGGUAGUCCACACGGUAAACGAUGAAUACUCGCUGUUUGCGAUAUACAGCAAGCGGCCAAGCGAAAGCGUUAAGUAUUCCACCUGGGGAGUACGCCGGCAACGGUGAAACUCAAAGGAAUUGACGGGGGCCCGCACAAGCGGAGGAACAUGUGGUUUAAUUCGAUGAUACGCGAGGAACCUUACCCGGGCUUAAAUUGCAGAUGAAUUACGGUGAAAGCCGUAAGCCGCAAGGCAUCUGUGAAGGUGCUGCAUGGUUGUCGUCAGCUCGUGCCGUGAGGUGUCGGCUUAAGUGCCAUAACGAGCGCAACCCUUGUUGUCAGUUACUAACAGGUUCUGCUGAGGACUCUGACAAGACUGCCAUCGUAAGAUGUGAGGAAGGUGGGGAUGACGUCAAAUCAGCACGGCCCUUACGUCCGGGGCUACACACGUGUUACAAUGGGGGGUACAGAGGGCCGCUACCACGCGAGUGGAUGCCAAUCCCCAAAACCUCUCUCAGUUCGGACUGGAGUCUGCAACCCGACUCCACGAAGCUGGAUUCGCUAGUAAUCGCGCAUCAGCCACGGCGCGGUGAAUACGUUCCCGGGCCUUGUACACACCGCCCGUCAAGCCAUGGGAGCCGGGGGUACCUGAAGUGCGUAACCGCGAGGAGCGCCCUAGGGUAAAACUGGUGACUGGGGCU